Long non-coding RNA from Homo sapiens (human), 455 nucleotides. The record is from Ensembl. Lineage: Eukaryota; Metazoa; Chordata; Mammalia; Primates; Hominidae.
ACACACUAAAACUCCCACAGAAAGGGGGAAAAUUAGAAAAGGGGUGAUAUAAUUUGACUCUGUGUCACCACCCAAAUCUCAUCUUGAAUUGUAAUCCCCGUAAUUUCUCACCUGGCAAGAGUGGGACCAGGUGGAGACAAUUGGAUCAUGGGGGCAGUUUUCCCCAUGCUCUUCUCGUGAUAAUGAUUGAGUCUCAUGGGAUCUGAUGAUUCUAUAAGUGUCUGGCUUUUCUCCUACUUGCACUCACUCCAUCCUGCCACCCUGCGAGGAAGGUGCCUGCUUCUUCUUUGCCUUCCGCCGUGAGUGUGAGUCUCCUGAGGCCUCCCCAGCAAUGUGGAACUGGAUACGUCAUGGAACAGAGGGCAACCUGCCUCCUGGAAAUGUGGAGUGUCUAGGGAGUCACAGCUGAGAUCUUCCUUGGAUUAAAGGCUGCGGGUGUCACAAACAGGUAGGAA